RNAcentral lists this ribosomal RNA (155 nucleotides) under Rhizophagus irregularis. RNAcentral's name for it is "5.8S ribosomal RNA". It matches the Rfam family "5.8S ribosomal RNA". From Rfam's summary of the family: 5.8S ribosomal RNA (5.8S rRNA) is a component of the large subunit of the eukaryotic ribosome. It is transcribed by RNA polymerase I as part of the 45S precursor that also contains 18S and 28S rRNA. The record is from RNAcentral. Lineage: Eukaryota; Fungi; Glomeromycota; Glomeromycetes; Glomerales; Glomeraceae.
ACUUUCAACAAUGGAUCUCUUGGCUCUCGCAUCGAUGAAGAACGUAGCGAAGUGCGAUAAGUAAUGUGAAUUGCAGAAUUCCGUGAAUCAUCGAAUCUUUGAGCGCAAAUUGCACUCUCUGGUAACCCGGGGGGUAUGCCUGUUUGAGGGUCAGU